CGGCACGGUGAGUAACACGUAUCCAACCUGCCGUCUACUCUUGGCCAGCCUUCUGAAAGGAAGAUUAAUCCAGGAUGCAUCAUGAGUUCACAUGUCCGCAUGAUUAAAGGUAUUUUCCGGUAGACGAUGGGGAUGCGUUCCAUUAGAUAGUAGGCGGGGUAACGGCCCACCUAGUCAACGAUGGAUAGGGGUUCUGAGAGGAAGGUCCCCCACAUUGGAACUGAGACACGGUCCAA
RNAcentral lists this ribosomal RNA (236 nucleotides) under uncultured bacterium. RNAcentral's name for it is "partial 16S ribosomal RNA". It matches the Rfam family "Bacterial small subunit ribosomal RNA", at positions 105 to 334 of the family's 1533-position model. The record is from RNAcentral.